GCAGAAUGUGGCUCGUUCGCGUUCUUCAUGUGAAAGGUGCUGUAUUCAAUCAGCAAUCUAACCCUAACCCAGGUUUCAGUUUGGUUCAUGCUCAGCCUCUAAGCAUUGACUAAGCCUAAGCCUCGUUGCACUUAGCUGUCGAGUGUGUUUUUGGGGUUUCUUUCACACACGACACGAGGUACCUAACAAGAAACCUUUGAAGAAUGGCGGGCGAGUGCGGGAUCCAACACUGGGAAUAAUAACCGCUUUUGAGGCUGGAAAUGACGCGGAGAUUGAGGGGAAUACAGCCGUGAGUAAUUUCACUCUCUGUGUUCAAGGGUUUGCUCUGUCUCCCUUUUCUUUGCUCUUUCUUGGGUGGUUUGAAGGCGGUUGUUAACAUGCUGUCAUAUCCAAAACCAGUGAACAGUAAACUACCGAAUUGUCGUGCAAGCCUGCUUUCAAACACAUGUGAAAGUAAUUGGAACAUGUCAAUUCGCACAUUC
RNAcentral lists this non-coding RNA (482 nucleotides) under Stylophora pistillata. Lineage: Eukaryota; Metazoa; Cnidaria; Anthozoa; Scleractinia; Pocilloporidae. The record is from RNAcentral.